AUACAUAGCUGGCAGAGCGGAGACCGUGGUCCAGAAGGUGGCUUCCAAGGGCACGGUUCCCCAUCACACUCGGGAUUUGCUGAUUCACCCGUGAUUCAUCCCAGUGUGGGGAUUCACCUGUGUGAUUUGUGGUGCUUGGGGCCGUGAUUAUGCUUCCCCUAU
Non-coding RNA from Myodes glareolus (Bank vole), 162 nucleotides. The record is from RefSeq and is a predicted model, not a curated record. Lineage: Eukaryota; Metazoa; Chordata; Mammalia; Rodentia; Cricetidae.